AGCUGAGUGACUCCCUCCAUUUUGCACCUGUUGAGCUUCUUUCACGGCAUCAAAACCCAGGACUUCUCUUCUGAUCCUCCAAUGGAACUAGUUCUCUCCCCAGAUCAGUCAGUCUACUGCUCUGACGCGCUCAAGUCACUAAAGGAGAUACUCCAGAACCCCAACAAUAUAUUACAGGAAUUUAAUCACUUACAGGUCAACAGUAUAAAGAAUGCUGAAAUGAUGGAAAGCUGCAAAGAAGCUCUUCAGGAUGUCAAUUUGAGCAAAAACAGAUAUACAAGUCUUGUUCCAUGGUCGUUUUGAAGUCAACCAAGGAUUCUAAAACGCCGGGGAGUGAUUAUAUUAAUGCAAGUUUUCUCGAGGUUAGUUCCUGUGAAAGCAAUCCACGCAUCAUAGCCGCACAAGGCCCACUACGACAUACAUGUGAGGACUUCUGGGAGAUGGUAAUCCAGUAUCACUGCCCCUUAAUUGUUAUGCUGACUCAGUUGAUGGUCACCAGGCAGGUGAUCAAAUGUCACUUUCAAUCAGAAGACAGCCCUAUAGAAUUUGGAAAGAUACAUGUCACUACUAGAUGGAAAAGAACAACUAAUACAUUGUUAGUCUUGCGCAGAUUGGAGGUGACACACAGAGAGUCAGAGGAGCCACUGCACUCUGUUAUCCAUGUUCAGUAUCUCGACUGGCCUGAUUUUGGAGUACCCUACAACACACUUCCAGUUCGUGAGAUUUUAAAAAUGAUAUAUCAUAUACCCCGUGAUCUAGGCUUUAUAAUUGUGCAUUGCAGGUAUUUCUCUUCAUAUGCAUCAACUUUUACAUUUUUGGACAUGUACAGUUAAGACCGUUAGACCACAAAUCCAUAUGUACCCCUGAUAGUUUUCGGGUUUUUGUUCCCCAGUGCAGGUAUUGGGAGAACAGGUACAUUUUGUACAAUUCUUAAUACUGUAUUGAGAAUCCUUGCUGGAAAUUUGACUGCCUUGGAUCUUGGUCACACUGUCAGCAUUUUAAGAUCUCAGCGUAUGGGAAUGGUGGAAACUAUGGAACAAUUCUUGUUUUGCUAUAAUGUCGUAGCUGACGAAUUGGAAGAUCACAUUUCGCACUCGAAAUCAAUUGCAGAUAGUACCGAGUCAUAGAUAGUACUUGACCUCUUAAGCUCCUCAUAUCCUACCAGACUUCCAAAGCCGACAUCCACAGCAGCCGUCUUACUUAUAUUGACCUAUACUAUUUACAAAGAAUUGUCUCCAUAUGGCAUCAAGAUUUGGUUGUUCUCACUGUCCCAGCUUGAAAUCAUUAAAUGUAAUAAAAUGCUGAAAAUAAUUUGUGAUUUGUGUUUUUCUUUGACUUGGACAUUCAAACAGUAUUUAUUUAAAGUCUUCUAAAU
This is an RNA transcript of Papaver somniferum (opium poppy), 1375 nucleotides long. It is a transcript of the gene named protein-tyrosine-phosphatase PTP1-like, with no coding region annotated. The record is from RefSeq and is a predicted model, not a curated record. Lineage: Eukaryota; Viridiplantae; Streptophyta; Magnoliopsida; Ranunculales; Papaveraceae. The transcript has 7 exons.